This is a long non-coding RNA of Homo sapiens (human), 2086 nucleotides long. RefSeq lists it as uncharacterized. The transcript is spliced from 2 exons. Lineage: Eukaryota; Metazoa; Chordata; Mammalia; Primates; Hominidae. The record is from RefSeq and is a predicted model, not a curated record.
GCCAUUCUCCUGCCUCAGCCUCCCGAGUAGCUGGGAUUACAGGCGCUCGCCACUGCGCCCGGCUAAUUUUUUGUAUUUUUAGUAGAGACGGGGUUUCACCGUGUUAGCCAAGAUGGUCUCGACCUCCUGACCUCGUGAUCUGCCCGCCUCGGCCUCCCAAUGUGCUGGGAUUACAGGCAUGAGCCACCCCACCCAGAAAUCUCUUUAUGUUUAAGAAGAGGAAAGUGAAGAACGGAAAGGGAAGAAACUGCCCAUCCUCAUGGUUCUAGUGAUGCAUUUUGCUGCGUCUCUCCAAUUCUCAUCCAUGUAAGGAGGGAGGAAACAGUGUGAGUACAGUCUGAAUACCUCAGUCUCCAGCCUAUACCUCAGAAAAGGUGUGAUAAGAGUGUGGCUUGUAUAGGGCAGGUGGUACAGAGAGGGAAUAUGGGAAAGUCCAGGGAAGGAGAAUGGAGUGGCUGAGAGCUCAGGACUCAGGUAGUGGGCUUCCCUGUCCAAGAAGAUGGAUGCCUUUCAAGGGGUCCCAGUCAAAUGCAAAGCUCCCCUUCCUCACCAUCCUGCUGAAGCUAGUCUUGAUAAGUCCAGGUGCUAGGCAGUUCACCCUAAUGUUCCUUGGGGCCAGCUCUAUGGCCAGGGUCUUGGUCAGGCCCAGCAAGGCUGUUUUACUGACAUUGUAAGGACUGAAGCCCUGGAGAAAGAAGAGAAUGUGUUAGACUCAUAGUUUCCAGGUCAUUCUUGGUUCUAAUAACUAGACAUAGAGGGCAGUGCUCAAUAGGGAUCUCCUGUAAGGGAGGGGCAGAGUUAGGGAACUGUCUUGUGGCUAAACCUCCCCUAGGUUGUGGUUUGUGGAGGCAAGGCAUCUAUUUUGUGGGCAGGGACUUGGUGGUGUGAUUCUACAAGGGGACACAAACUUCCUUGGGUAAUAGGAGGGGUGGAAAGAUGUGGAGUGGAGGGUGGGAUGGAAGAGGUAGACAAAAGGGUUCUUACAGGAGAUGGACUGAAGGCUGCUAUGGAAGACACGAUCACCACUGAGCCGCCUCUGGAAAAAGAAGAGAGCUGACCAUCUUCCCAUUGUGGACCAGUGCCCUCAGCCCGUGUGGUGUCCCCUCUCACCCAGGCUCUCUCUCACUCUCUGUACCCUCGUUUCUCCAUUUCUGGCACCACUGCCUUUGUCAUCAGGGCUGGGGCCUUCACAUUAAUGUCCAGAGUCUGAAGCCAAGAGAAGAAGGGGAAACAGCAUGAGUGAAGAGCACUGGAGGAGGCAUGAAAAAAUGAGGAGUUAGAGUGGGUUCCUAGGAUGUUUGUCAGAGCUGACGAAGAUCUUAGGAUGAUAUACCUGCAUCUUACACAUGAAGGAACUGAGGUUCAGGGAGAAGUAGCUCUCACCAGCUGCUCAGCUAGAUAUUGAUACAUUAGGUUCAGGUGAGCAAAAAUGGAGCCUGGUUCAUCUUGUUUCAUAAUCAGCCAAGUAUGAUUUGGGCCAGAAGGGGCCUUUGGAUUUGAGCUGUGUUUUCUCUGUUUCUUCCAAGUAGGUAGAGCCUGGAAUUGUCAGCCUCCUGGACCUGCCCUAGACUACCUGCCCUAGAGUAGGCCAUGCUUCUCAGGGAAAAUGUGGCCUGACCUUGGAUAUGUGGGGUUGUUCUAGCACUUCUCUGGCUUCUGGGCUUAGGGAGUGAGAUGUUCUUGGCCCUCUAGGAAGGACUGUCUGGCUAGGCAUGGUUAGAAAGUGGGAUCAUGAGGAGUCACCUUCUGGGGAAGCUGGGGGACAGGCUACAAUCAGAAUCCCCACAUCCAUAAUCUAAAACAAAUGUAUGACCCUGUUUACACUGUUCUAGACAACUGCUUAUAUUAAAAUAUUUCAAUCUUACAGAAAAAUUGGAGAUAGAAGUACAAUGAAUGUCUAGAUAUCCUUCACUUAGAUUCACCAAUUGUUCACAUUUUGUCCUAUUUGUCCUCUCUGUAGAUCUGUACAGUUUUUUAAAUGAACCAUUGAAACUCAGUUGCAAGUUUUCUGAAAGAUUUUAUAUAAUAAAAUCAAAAAUUACAAAGAACAAAAAUAAAAAAAUGUAAAUUAAAAAAAAAAAACAAA